AGGGGGUGACGUGGAUUAGUUUCUAUCGGGGGCAGAGCGAGCCCGGUGGUUAAGGGUCAGAGGCGGCUCCUCGGAAGGGGGGCACCGGAGCAGGCUUUGGAUGGUGAGGUGGAAGUGAGCCAGAGGCGUAUCUGUGAUGGCGGUUUUCAGCCAGGACUGACUUCCUUCGUCAGAUACAUGAGAACGCUCUGUGUACCAGGCACAGUGUCAGACACUCACUUCCUCUGCUGUCGGUUAGGGGUGUCCUGGGGCUGCAGACUGCUUGAGGACACAAAAUCUCGGGUGAAAGUCCACGUUCUGUUACAUGGCAUCACUGUGAGUGGGCCUGGACAGAAGAAACGGGACGGACAUAGGAGGAGACACCAGGUCCGGCCACGAGGGUCUGCCCAGGUCUCUUCUGGUGGAAGGCCACUGGAGCAAAGGCUUUCCUCCGGUGGAGGAAACCCGGCAGAGAGGGUCUGAUGACUUCCCAGAUAAGCGGUGGCCGUGAAAUAGGAAACCGUGUCAUCGUCUGAGAAACAGCUCUAGGCUCUGGGGCUGUGGGGUGGCGGUGGAGGUGGGGACACCUCUGAGCUCUGAGUGACGGCUGUUUCUGGGAACAUGGAGGCCAGAGGCCAGUGGCUGCCUGGUGGAGAGAAGCAGUGGGCUGGGGGUUCUCACCUCCCCUCUACCAAUAGCUUUGGGUCUCACGUCUCCUCUACCAAGUGCUUUGUGAAAAGCUACCAAUAGCUUUUCAGCCUCUGGGCAUAAAGUUUCCAUUCUUUCUCUGUUGUAUCUGUGCUAAUGAAAGCAGCUAGCACAUUAGCAGGAUGAUUUUAUUAUGGGUCUUUAUUGCCCCAGGGCUGUGGAAGAAACCUGGAAGCAUUUUUAAGCUCAGUAAUGAGAACUUUUUCUUUGCAAGGGAUUUUUUUUUUUAAUAUCCUAAAAAUGACAAAGAUGAUCACAUGGCAUAAUGGAGUGGUUAAUAUGCACAUAUUCAUUUCUCAUUUAGAGGGCUGACUUCAGCAGCAAGGCCCUCAGUAUGCACACUUGAAACAAUCUGGUCAUCUCUGAUGUUCACUAUUUUGCAGUCAGUUUUGCCCUCCUGCUCCCCCAGAAGAGGUCAUGAUCUCACACUUCGUGGGAUCGAGCCCCAUGUCUGGACUCUGCCCUGGGAGUGCGGAACCUGCUUGGGAUUUUCUCUCUCCCUCUCUCUCUGCCCCUUCCCUGCUUGAGUGCGCUCUCUCUCUCUCUCUC
Long non-coding RNA from Neofelis nebulosa (Clouded leopard), 1236 nucleotides. RefSeq lists it as uncharacterized. Lineage: Eukaryota; Metazoa; Chordata; Mammalia; Carnivora; Felidae. The record is from RefSeq and is a predicted model, not a curated record. The transcript has 2 exons.